Molecule: long non-coding RNA, 377 nt
Organism: Mesocricetus auratus (golden hamster)
Lineage: Eukaryota; Metazoa; Chordata; Mammalia; Rodentia; Cricetidae
Exons: 3
Source: RefSeq, a predicted model, not a curated record
AAAAGUGCUGGGCAGGUGAGACUCACGCGAUGAAGGAGAUCACAAACUUCAAAGGAUGCCCGCCCCACUGGCCUGUUCUUCAUGCCCUCUACCCGAAUGCUUGGAGACUGGGAAAAGUUGAAACUGAAGAGACAGCAUUCCUGAAGAGGGGUGAUCCACCUGACACAUGCAGUCUCUUGUCCAGUGUGGAGACCACUCCACUAGUGCUGUUUGGGGAAUGGCUUGGUUUGGAGAACGGUGGCAGAGACACAGUGGUGUAAUCAAAGGGUCACUUCUUGAAAUGCAAGACCGGCUGAUUCAGCAUUGUAGAACCCACUGUACUUUAAGGCACUGGAUAACUGGUUUGUAUUGUACUGUAUGUGCUGUACUAUUUGUAU